RNAcentral lists this ribosomal RNA (90 nucleotides) under Klebsiella oxytoca. RNAcentral describes it as "partial 16S ribosomal RNA". The stretch from base 1 to 80 matches the Rfam family "Bacterial small subunit ribosomal RNA", at positions 1454 to 1533 of the family's 1533-position model. RNAcentral also lists the same sequence under 11 other names. The record is from RNAcentral. Lineage: Bacteria; Pseudomonadati; Pseudomonadota; Gammaproteobacteria; Enterobacterales; Enterobacteriaceae.
UUACCACUUUGUGAUUCAUGACUGGGGUGAAGUCGUAACAAGGUAACCGUAGGGGAACCUGCGGUUGGAUCACCUCCUUACCUGAAAGAA